CUAACCUGCCCACUGAAUUAAUUUUAAAGGGCCGCGGUAUUUUGACUGUGCGAAGGUAGCAUAAUCAUUAGUCUUUUAAUUGAAGGCUUGUAUGAAUGGUUGGAUGAAGUGAAUACUGUUUUAUAUUUAAUAAUUGAAUUUAGGUUUUUAGUAAAAAAACUUAAAUAUUACUAAGUGACGAGAAGACCCUAUAGAGUUUAAUAAUUUUAGUAAUUUAAUUAUGUUUAUAAAAAAAUUUUAGUUAUUAUGAAAUUUAUUUAAUUGGGGUGAUUAAAAGAUAAAAAUAACUCUUUUUAAAGUUUAAUAUUAUAAUUAGUUUUAUGAUCCAUUUAUAAUGAUUAAAAGAUUAAAUUACCUUAGGGAUAACAGCAUAAUUUUUUUUGAGAGUUCAUAUUGAAAAGGAAGAUUGUGACCUCGAUGUUGGAUUAAGAUAAAUUUUGGGUGUAGAUGUUCAUAAA
RNAcentral lists this ribosomal RNA (458 nucleotides) under Chlidonoptera vexillum. RNAcentral describes it as "partial 16S ribosomal RNA". Lineage: Eukaryota; Metazoa; Arthropoda; Insecta; Mantodea; Hymenopodidae. The record is from RNAcentral.